AAGUCGUAACAAGGUUUCCGUAGGUGAACCUGCGGAAGGAUCAUUAAGGAGUAUUCGCUGGAGGCCUUCGGGUAGUACAGCUCUCCCACCCGUGACUAUAUACUAUGUUGCUUUCCGGGCGUUAAACCCCGGAGAGGACCAAACUCUUGAAUUUAUUACUGUCUGAGUACUAUAUAAUAGUUAAAACUUUCAACAACGGAUCUCUUGGUUCUG
RNAcentral lists this unclassified non-coding RNA (213 nucleotides) under Leotiomycetes sp. RNAcentral's name for it is "partial contains small subunit ribosomal RNA, internal transcribed spacer 1, and 5.8S ribosomal RNA". The stretch from base 1 to 46 matches the Rfam family "Eukaryotic small subunit ribosomal RNA", at positions 1786 to 1831 of the family's 1831-position model. The record is from RNAcentral. Lineage: Eukaryota; Fungi; Ascomycota; Leotiomycetes.